Long non-coding RNA from Daktulosphaira vitifoliae (grape phylloxera), 2251 nucleotides. RefSeq lists it as uncharacterized. NCBI's taxonomy places the organism in Eukaryota, Metazoa, Arthropoda, Insecta, Hemiptera, Phylloxeridae. The record is from RefSeq and is a predicted model, not a curated record. The transcript has 3 exons.
AAUCACGCAUAUUUUUAUAAAAAAAUUAUAAUUGUGUUAUAAUUUCGAGCUCGUAAAUAGUAUUUAAGUUAAUACAAUACCUUCAUACAUAAAAUAAAAAUUAUUAAAAACAGUUUUAAAAAUAGUAAUUUAGACUUUUAUAAAGGAGAAUAACCAAAUGACAGUCUCAAAUAUGCAUGUUCGAAUUCGGUCAUGGACUCAUCUAUUUUUUGAACGAGAGAUUAACUCAGUUUUUAAAUUACCAUUCUUUUCUGCGAUGACGUACCAGGAGCAGAUUUAGAAUGUUAUUAUAAGCAGUGCUAAGAAAUAAAUUUUGUUCGAGUUGCAUUCUAUUUGAAAUUUUUGGCUCAUAAAUGUUUUUUGAUAAGAUAUCUUAUCAAAAAACAAUUAUUCUUAACUGAUUGUUUGAUAUGAACAUAAAAUGAUUGUUGUUAAAUAUCCUUUUUUCAAUUCAACGAAAUAAUGUAUAAGUCUAGGAUCUUACUCUGGAAACAAUGAAGGAAAAAGUGGCUGGUCUGCAUGACCAAUCUAAAAAACUGAAAGGUGAUGUUGUUUUUGUGUAGUGGUUAUAUAUUUAGUCCAAGUUAUUAUUUAUAUGCUAGUAACACCUAUUGUUUUAAUAAACAUAAUUAAUACAAAUUAAGGGUGUUUUUAAUGUACUAAAAAGCAUAUUAUGAUGACAUUAUCUUUAAAUGUUCUGGUAAUAUUCCAAUCAGACAUUCACACGUUUCUAGAGGAUGUGUAUACAAUGUUUGAAGGAGACAUACUAUUAAUUCUUAUAAAUAACAAACCUUAAAUAUUUUAUAAGUGUUGAUAAUCUUAACAAGCUCAGGGAUAUCACCUUUACAUCAUAGUAAUAAUGUAUGGGAUGUUACAAGUUCCCAUGAAACGUUUUAAGAACUUCAAUGAUAUGUAACAUUGCAUAGUGGGUAUUUUAAUAAGUAAUAAUUAUAUAUUAAUAAUAAGUAUACUUACUAUCAUAAAAAACACAUGUUUUCGAUGUAAAUCUGUAGAUAGUGUUUAAUUUAAAAAAAAUGGUGGAUUGUUCCAAAUCUACAUGAUCUCUUAUUUCCUUAUUUAUAUUCUGAUUACAAGUUUUAUGAUUUAUAAGUGUAAUAUAUAAAUAAAUAUAUAUAAAGGGAAAUGGUUUUAUUUACAAAAAAUUGAAUGAAUGAGGAAUAUAAAUAGUAUUUAUCAUAAAAAAUUGUAUUGAUCUAUACAUUUUUCAAAAAUUUCUAGAAAUAUAAAGUUAAAAAUGUAAAAUAUAAAAUCGAGAAUUUUAACACAAACAUAGGAUAUGUUAAUGACUACCGCAUUUUCACUGUAAAGACAAAAUAAAGUGUAUAAAGUAAAAUUUUAAAUUUUGUAGUUGAAACAUAUAUCAAAUCUAAUUCGACGAUAAAUACUUAGAAAACAUUAGAAAUUAAUGAUUUUCAUUGUCUUUAUGGAGAAUGUGGGCUAAGUAACUUUUUUAUUGAUUAAGUAGAAUUUUUUUUUUUCAAUUUUUGAGGGUAUUAUGUUUAACUAGAUACGAAUUGUAAAUAUAUGACGUAUCGUAUAAAAAAAAUUAGGUCAAGUGAGAGCUGAGAAAAUGUAUGAUAGCCACAAAAAUACCCUCUCAGCUUUGCAUCGAAGCUAUAAUUUAAAAUAUAGUAAAAUAAUUUUAAUAUGAAUAAGAAAUUACUUUUUGAAAUUUGAUAAAAAUCAAAUGAGUUAAAAAUUUAUUUUAACUUAAAAAGAAUUAAGAAAAAAUGCAAAAAAAAUUAGUGCCACAAGUAACACAAGUGUUACUGUCUCAGAAAUCGUACGUCACAUUCGUCACUUAAUAAAAAUGGUAAUUUAGUUAGUUCAAAUUUUAAAGUUAUUUUUCUCGACUAAAUAAAAUACAAAACCAAGAAUUUUAACACAAAAAUAGCAUAUUUUUGAAUAUGGUAGCCAUUUACACCACGAGGACAAUGUAAAAUUCGAAAAAUUUUUUUUCAUAUUAAAAAAUAAUACAGAGCUUUAAUUUAAUAUAUAUAUAAAAGUGUCAGUAUUUCCAAAACAUUUACAAAUAUAUUGAAAAAGGUAUACAUUCUAUAUGCAUUUUUAAGUUUUGAAUUCCUCUGUAUUAAAGGAAAUAGUCCGAUUUAAAAAAAAAUAUGUCGCAUGAAAGAGGAAUAUAAAUAGUAUUUCUCAUGAAAAAAUUUUAUUGAUCCAUAUAUUUUUCAAAAAGUUAUGGUAUUUUAAACUUAAAAACGUAAUAUAUAAA